Molecule: ribosomal RNA, 323 nt
Filed under: uncultured eukaryote
Lineage: Eukaryota
Description: partial 18S ribosomal RNA
Rfam family: Eukaryotic small subunit ribosomal RNA
Source: RNAcentral
CCCUUAGAUGUUCUGGGCCGCACGCGUACUACACUGAACGGUUCAAUGGGUAAGGUAGUGCGAAAGCAUGACCUAAUCUCGAAAUCCGUUCGUGCUGGGGAUAGAAGCUUGCAAUUAUCCUUCUUGAACGAGGAAUACCUUGUAAGCGUGAGUCAUCAUCUCACGCUGAAUACGUCCCUGCCCUUUGUACACACCGCCCGUCGCUCCUACCGAUUGAGUGUUCCGGUGAGGCUUUGGGAGAAUGGCCUCAACAUGAGUUUAUCGUGUUUUGCCGUUUGAACUUAGUCAAACCUUAUCACUUAGAGGAAGGAGAAGUCGUAACA